UGGGGAAUAUUGCACAAUGGGCGCAAGCCUGAUGCAGCCAUGCCGCGUGUAUGAAGAAGGCCUUCGGGUUGUAAAGUACUUUCAGUCGGGAGGAAGGUGUCAAGGUUAAUAACCUUGGCAAUUGACGUUACCGACAGAAGAAGCACCGGCUAACUCCGUGCCAGCAGCCGCGGUAAUACGGAGGGUGCAAGCGUUAAUCGGAAUUACUGGGCGUAAAGCGCACGCAGGCGGUUGAUUGAGUCAGAUGUGAAAUCCCCGGGCUUAACCCGAGAAGUGCAUCUGAUACUGGUCAGCUAGAGUCUUGUAGAGGGGGGUAGAAUUCCAUGUGUAGCGGUGAAAUGCGUAGAGAUGUGGAGGAAUACCGGUGUCGUAGGCGGCCCCCUGGACAAAGACUGACGCUCAGGUGCGAAAGCGUGGGGAGCAAACAGG
Molecule: ribosomal RNA, 429 nt
Filed under: Chloroflexota bacterium
Lineage: Bacteria; Bacillati; Chloroflexota
Description: Chloroflexi bacterium partial 16S ribosomal RNA
Rfam family: Bacterial small subunit ribosomal RNA
Source: RNAcentral